CCUACGGGUGGCAGCAGUGGGGAAUAUUGGGCAAUGGGCGCAAGCCUGACCCAGCAACGCCGCGUGAAGGAAGAAGGCUUUCGGGUUGUAAACUUCUUUUAAGAGGGAAGAGCAGAAGACGGUACCUCUUGAAUAAGCCACGGCUAACUACGUGCCAGCAGCCGCGGUAAUACGUAGGUGGCAAGCGUUGUCCGGAUUUACUGGGUGUAAAGGGCGUGCAGCCGGGAAGACAAGUCAGAUGUGAAAUCCCGGGGCUCAACCCCGGAACUGCAUUUGAAACUGUUUUUCUUGAGUGUCGGAGAGGUCAUCGGAAUUCCUUGUGUAGCGGUGAAAUGCGUAGAUAUAAGGAAGAACACCAGUGGCGAAGGCGGAUGACUGGACGGCAACUGACGGUGAGGCGCGAAAGCGUGGGGAGCAAACAGGAUUAGAUACCCGUGUAGUC
RNAcentral lists this ribosomal RNA (442 nucleotides) under uncultured bacterium. RNAcentral describes it as "partial 16S ribosomal RNA". It matches the Rfam family "Bacterial small subunit ribosomal RNA", at positions 338 to 795 of the family's 1533-position model. The record is from RNAcentral.